RNAcentral lists this ribosomal RNA (315 nucleotides) under uncultured eukaryote. RNAcentral describes it as "partial 18S ribosomal RNA". It matches the Rfam family "Eukaryotic small subunit ribosomal RNA", at positions 1470 to 1796 of the family's 1831-position model. The record is from RNAcentral.
CCCUUAGAUGUUCUGGGCCGCACGCGCGCUACACUGACCGGUGCAACAAGCAUCCGUCCUUGGCCGACAGGCCCGGGCAAUCUUUGAACGCCGGUCGUGAUGGGGAUAGACUUUUGCAAUUUUUGGUCUUCAACGAGGAAUUCCUAGUAAACGCAAGUCAUCAACUUGCAUUGAUUACGUCCCUGCCCUUUGUACACACCGCCCGUCGCACCUACCGAUUGAAUGGUCCGGUGAAGCCUCCGGAUUGGCGCGCACCUCGGUGCCGCCGAGAAGUUGGCUAAACCUUACCAUUUAGAGGAAGGUGAANUCGUANCA